Hemicordylus capensis (graceful crag lizard) is the source of this 598-nucleotide long non-coding RNA. RefSeq lists it as uncharacterized. NCBI's taxonomy places the organism in Eukaryota, Metazoa, Chordata, Lepidosauria, Squamata, Cordylidae. The transcript has 2 exons. The record is from RefSeq and is a predicted model, not a curated record.
GGGAGGCUCACUCAUACUCACAGCUUGCAACUCCUGUAGCUACUUCCAUGGAUGAGGCUAUUUCUAAGGCUUUUUAAAAGAAAUCCUUCCUCUGUUCCACCUCCUUGAUGUGAGGACUGUUUGUUCAAAUGGAAAAGGAAGUCCAACACGUGUGUGGUUUAUUACGUUUUCUUGAGUUGUGUGCUUUAAUCCAUAUUCUUGGGCUACAUUCCUGACUGCCAUUGUAAAGUUAUCCACCUCCGUCACAUACCUAUGGUUAGCUGAUAGUUGCUUCUUAGGGAUAUUGUCCAAGUUUGAGCAGUGAAGUCAAUAGAAAGCUUUUCACAUCUCUUCAGCUUUGGAAAUCCUUUUCUCUGGAUGUCCCACAAAGGCUAGGCCUGAACAUCUUGUAGAGCCAUGGCAAGAUAUUUGUUUGUUUGUUUGUUUAUAUAUUUGGUGAUAAGCAACGGAUUAUUUUAAUGGCAGGUCGGUUUUUACAUUAAUUGCUUUGCUAUUUAAAUAUUUCUAUGCUCAUUCACUGUUUUUGAAAAUGUCUGGGGAAACUGAAGAAAUGGAAAAUGUUACAAUCCAAAAUAUAAUAAAAUGAAUGUAAUUUUUA